This 735-nucleotide unclassified non-coding RNA is filed under the name Hevea brasiliensis (rubber tree). The record is from RNAcentral. Lineage: Eukaryota; Viridiplantae; Streptophyta; Magnoliopsida; Malpighiales; Euphorbiaceae.
AUUCAGAUGAGCAAAUAUUAUAUUGGGUUAUUUCUUAUCUAAAUAAUAUAAUAUAAUAGUCCUACAAAUACAAUAUGAAAACCAAGAUGAAAAAAAAAUAAUCUCAGAAACAUUGACUGACACAACUAAGACUUUGGUUUCCCACCAUAAGCUUGCUGACAAAUCGACGUAGAUUUCUGUGAUUUCAAGCAAAGUUGCGAAGAAAUCGGACAUUUUUGUAAACAAUUAUCUCCUAAACUGCCGGUAACUGAAGUUUCCCGGCCGAAAAAUCCCGCCGGCGGUGAUCCAUUCAAGAAAUUACCGUCAAGAUACAACCUUUUCAACGUCGCCUUUUUGCUAUACUGCAACGGAAUCGGUCCCCGGAACUUGUUAUACCUCAAUGUCAACGACGACAAUCGAGGGAAAAUCGCGAAAUUUACCGGUAAAUAUCCUUCGAUUUUGUUGAAACCCAAAUCGACGGCGACAAGGUCGCUGUUCAAAUUAACAACAUUUGAGAUCUUGACGAGUGUAAAGCUGUUGUUCGCCAUGUCGAUUUGUUGUAACGAAGGUAACUGAAAGAACCAAGUUUCAAUAGUUCCAAAUAACGAAUUUUCACUAAGCUCCACAACUUCCAGUUGAUUCAACCCAUUAAACGACGAUUUCAAUAGAGGCCCAGAUAACGAAUUAGCCUUCGCUGCAAGUUCUAGUAGAUUUGGGGGUAAUUUUGGGAGUGACCCAGUUAGCUUAUUGUAACUA